UUGACCUCGGAUCAGGUAGGGAUACCCA
RNAcentral lists this ribosomal RNA (28 nucleotides) under Sticta fuliginosa. RNAcentral's name for it is "partial 26S ribosomal RNA". The record is from RNAcentral. Lineage: Eukaryota; Fungi; Ascomycota; Lecanoromycetes; Peltigerales; Lobariaceae. RNAcentral also lists the same sequence under 1 other name.